UACGGGGGAGGCAAGCGUUGUUCGGAAUUACUGGGCGUAAAGGGCUCGUAGGCGGCCAACUAAGUCCGACGUGAAAUCCCUCGGCUUAACCGGGGAACUGCGUCUGAUACUGGAUGGCUUGAAUCCGGGAGAGGGAUGCGGAAUUCCCGGUGUAGCAGUGAAAUGCGUAGAGAUCGGGAGGAACAUCUGUGGCGAAGGCGACUGCCUGGACCAGCACUGACACUGAGGCACGAAAGCGUGGGGAGCAAACAGG
Molecule: ribosomal RNA, 253 nt
Filed under: uncultured bacterium
Lineage: Bacteria
Description: partial 16S ribosomal RNA
Rfam family: Bacterial small subunit ribosomal RNA
Source: RNAcentral